Coturnix japonica (Japanese quail) is the source of this 1241-nucleotide long non-coding RNA. RefSeq lists it as uncharacterized. The record is from RefSeq and is a predicted model, not a curated record. NCBI's taxonomy places the organism in Eukaryota, Metazoa, Chordata, Aves, Galliformes, Phasianidae.
AAUUAAUCUGACAAGUACCUGACAUUUUAUUUUAGGUACAACGAUUCUGGUGCUGUGCUUUUCUUGUGUAUCAAAUUCACAAAGCUCCCUAGGUGAAAUUACCCAUGUACUUUCAAAGCUGAUUCAUGGCUCUUCGCUUGGCAUUGAAGACUCAGUCUGCACAGGUCUGAAGAUUUAACCAUUAAACAGCUCUGACAGCACCCACUGCAAAUGCAUUUCGCUGUGAGCCUGAGUAUCCAGAAAUGUGUGCUGCAUUUGGAGCAGGAAAUACACAUGCUACAUUAUCCAGUGCUGAGAGCCCCAGGUACAGUGUUUAUACAAUCUACUGUUUGGCAACCUCAUUUCAAGGCCAGUGACCCACCACUUCUUGUGAUUGUUACAAUGAUCUGCAGCAAAUCUCUUCAGGAUAAUGGGCACUGUUCAGCCACAGCCACCGCUAUGUCUUAGUUUCAAGUAUCAAAUACCAGUCUGGGGUCUUCCUGAAGAUAACACAAAGCAAUAUUAUAAGACAUCAAUAAGCAAAACAAACCUUUAACAAAUGUAAACCAGCAAGAGUUUGCUAGCAGCAGCUGACAGCAAAGCCAUAUAUAAGCACACAGGUGUGUAUAUGACAUAAGUGUGUUCCCUAUACUGCACCUGUCCUGCUUUUUUUCUGAACACAAAAUGAACUUUCCAAGAUCUCAGUUCUUUUUUCCAGCAAUUCCAAAUGCCACAAAAAUGCUGUAAAGAAUCAGUUGUCCUAUUAUUUACAUGACUUACAACUUACAGCACAGCAAAUCAAUGUCAGCACUGCAGCAGAGCCUGGGGGCAAACACCUGGCUCCACUGAUGCUGGGAGCAGAGCUCCCACUGACACUCAUGAGAGCAGGACAUCUUCCUGCAGUGCCUCGUGCCAGCUUCUAUCAACAGGCAGUACUGCAUUGUCAUGGAAGUAAUGCAACAGCACAUCUCUGACUGGAGUAGUGAUAGGAGCACUGCUGAGUUCACUGGGAAGAUUGCUACCUUUUUCUCUUUUCUUUCCUUUUUUACAUUUCUUUUUCUAGCCCUUUUAUUUUAUCAUGCCUAAAAUCUGUUGAAUUAAAGAUGGAAUGGUAAGCAGAGACAGGUACAGUAAUAGCUGCUGAAAAUCAAUAUUAUUGUUUUCUCCAAGUAUGAGGAUUCAGAAAAUGUAAGGAUGUGGUUUAUCUCAGUUUAUUUUACUUCCAUACUGUUCACCAAUAAAGUCUUUAUCUCCUUCAUUUA